AUUGAACGCUGGCGGCAUGCCUUACACAUGCAAGUCGAACGGUAACGGGCCUUCGGGUGCCGACGAGUGGCGAACGGGUGAGUAAUACAUCGGAACGUGCCCGAUCGUGGGGGAUAACGAGGCGAAAGCUUUGCUAAUACCGCAUACGAUCUACGGAUGAAAGCAGGGGACCGCAAGGCCUUGCGCGGACGGAGCGGCCGAUGGCAGAUUAGGUAGUUGGUGGGAUAAAAGCUUACCAAGCCGACGAUCUGUAGCUGGUCUGAGAGGAUGAUCAGCCACAGUGGGAAUGGAAAAGGGCCCAGCCCCCUCGGGGGGGGAGGAGUGGGGAAUUUUGGAAAAUGGGGGGAAGCCUUAUCCAGCCAUGCCGGGUGAAGGAUGAAGGCUUUCGGGUUGUAAACUGCUUUUGUAAGGAACAAAAAGCCUUUUUUUAAAACAGGAGGGUCAUGACGGUACCGUAAGAAAAAGCACCGGCUAACUACGU
RNAcentral lists this ribosomal RNA (481 nucleotides) under uncultured bacterium. RNAcentral's name for it is "partial 16S ribosomal RNA". It matches the Rfam family "Bacterial small subunit ribosomal RNA", at positions 29 to 506 of the family's 1533-position model. The record is from RNAcentral.